GCGGGAGUAACUCAGUGGUAGAGUGCCACCUUGCCAAGGUGGACGUCGAGGGUUCGAAUCCCUUCUCCCGCUCCA
Molecule: transfer RNA, 75 nt
Filed under: Labilithrix sp.
Lineage: Bacteria; Pseudomonadati; Myxococcota; Polyangiales; Labilitrichaceae
Also listed under: 4 other names
Description: tRNA-Gly
Rfam family: tRNA
About the family: Transfer RNA (tRNA) molecules are approximately 80 nucleotides in length. Their secondary structure includes four short double-helical elements and three loops (D, anti-codon, and T loops).
Source: RNAcentral